UUAUCUUAGUGGCGGACGGGUGAGUAACGCGUGAGCAACCUGCCUUUCAGAGGGGGAUAACGUCUUGAAAAGGACGCUAAUACCGCAUGACAUUACGUUUUCGCAUGGAGAUGUAAUCAAAGGAGCAAUCCGCUGAAAGAUGGGCUCGCGUCCGAUUAGGUAGUUGGCGGGGUAGAGGCCCACCAAGCCGACGAUCGGUAGCCGGACUGAGAGGUUGAACGGCCACAUUGGGACUGAGACACGGCCCAGACUCCUACGGGAGGCAGCAGUGAGGGAUAUUGGUCAAUGGGGGAAACCCUGAACCAGCAACGCCGCGUGAGGGAUGACGGCCUUCGGGUUGUAAACCUCUGUCCUCUGUGAAGAUAAUGACGGUAGCAGAGGAGGAAGCUCCGGCUAACUACGUGCCAGCAGCCGCGGUAAUACGUAGGGAGCAAGCGUUGUCCGGAUUUACUGGGUGUAAAGGGUGCGUAGGCGGUUUGGUAAGUCAGAAGUGAAAUCCAUGGGCUUAACCCAUGAACUGCUUUUGAAACUGUCGAACUUGAGUGAAGUAGAGGUAGGCGGAAUUCCCGGUGUAGCGGUGAAAUGCGUAGAGAUCGGGAGGAACACCAGUGGCGAAGGCGGCCUACUGGGCUU
RNAcentral lists this ribosomal RNA (633 nucleotides) under uncultured Lachnospiraceae bacterium. RNAcentral describes it as "bacterial SSU rRNA". It matches the Rfam family "Bacterial small subunit ribosomal RNA", at positions 87 to 736 of the family's 1533-position model. The record is from RNAcentral. Lineage: Bacteria; Bacillati; Bacillota; Clostridia; Lachnospirales; Lachnospiraceae.